CCUCAAAUCAGGCGGGACUACCCGCUGAACUUAAGCAUAUCAAUAAGCGGAGGAAAAGAAACUAACAAGGAUUCCCCUAGUAACUGCGAGUGAAGCGGGAAAAGCUCAAAUUUAAAAUCUGGCAGUCUUUGGCUGUCCGAGUUGUAGUCUGGAGAAGCGUCUUCCGCGCUGGACCGUGUACAAGUCUCCUGGAACGGAGCGUCAUAGAGGGUGAGAAUCCCGUCUUUGACACGGACUACCAGUGCUUUGUGAUGCGCUCUCAAAGAGUCGAGUUGUUUGGGAAUGCAGCUCAAAAUGGGUGGUAAACUCCAUCUAAAGCUAAAUAUUGGCGAGAGACCGAUAGCGAACAAGUACCGUGAGGGAAAGAUGAGAAGCACUUUGGAAAGAGAGUUAAACAGUACGUGAAAUUGCUGAAAGGGAAACGCUUGAAGUCAGUCGCGUCCGCUAGAACUCAGCCUGGCUUUUGCUUGGUGCAUUUUCUAGUGGACGGGCCAGCAUCACUUUUGGCUGCGGGAUAAAGGUCGCAGGAAUGUGGCACCUUCGGGUGUGUUAUAGCCUGUGAUUGUAUACCGUGGCUGGGAGUGAGGACCGCAGCACGCCUUCAUGGCGGGGGUUCGCCCACCUUCGUGCUUAGGAUGCUGGCGUAAU
This 648-nucleotide ribosomal RNA is filed under the name uncultured Basidiomycota. RNAcentral's name for it is "LSU rRNA". It matches the Rfam family "Eukaryotic large subunit ribosomal RNA", at positions 1 to 635 of the family's 3401-position model. Lineage: Eukaryota; Fungi; Basidiomycota. The record is from RNAcentral.